RNAcentral lists this ribosomal RNA (396 nucleotides) under uncultured Latescibacterota bacterium. RNAcentral describes it as "bacterial SSU rRNA". It matches the Rfam family "Bacterial small subunit ribosomal RNA", at positions 988 to 1382 of the family's 1533-position model. The record is from RNAcentral. Lineage: Bacteria; Pseudomonadati; Candidatus Latescibacterota.
GCAGGUGAUCGCCGUUGAAAGACGGUUUCCUCUUCGGAGGCACCUGCACAGGUGCUGCAUGGCUGUCGUCAGCUCGUGUCGUGAGAUGUUGGGUUAAGUCCCGCAACGAGCGCAACCCUUAUCCCCAGUUGCCAUCAGGUAAAGCUGGGAACUCUGGGGAGACUGCCGGUGAUAAACCGGAGGAAGGCGGGGAUGACGUCAAGUCCUCAUGGCCCUUACAUCCCGGGCUACACACGUGCUACAAUGGCAGGUACAGAGGGCUGCGAAGCCGCGAGGUGGAGCGAAUCCCAGAAAACCUGUCUCAGUCCGGAUUGAAGUCUGCAACUCGACUUCAUGAAGGCGGAAUCGCUAGUAACCGCGAAUCAGCAGGUCGCGGUGAAUACGUUCCCGGGCCUU